RNAcentral lists this long non-coding RNA (461 nucleotides) under Coturnix japonica (Japanese quail). RNAcentral's name for it is "lncRNA (ENSCJPG00005002612.1)". Lineage: Eukaryota; Metazoa; Chordata; Aves; Galliformes; Phasianidae. The record is from RNAcentral.
GGCCCCCUAUAAGGCCUUAACUGCCCCCAAUAGGGUCAUAAUUGCCCCCCCUGGCCUUACUGCCCCCCUAUAGAACCUUACCUGCCCUAACAACGGUCCAAUUGCCCCAUAGGGCCUUAACUGCCCGCCAUAGACCUUAAACAUGCCCUAUAGCCCUUAACUGCCCCUAUAGGACCUUAACUGCCCCAAUAGGGUCCAAUUGCCCCCUAUAGGGCCUUAACUGCCCCCAUAGACCUUAACCGCCCCCUAUAGGGCCUUAAUUGCCCCCUAUAGGACCUUAACUGCCCCAAUAGGGUCCAAUUGCCCCCUAUAGGGCCUUAACUGCCCCCUAUAGGGCCUCAAUUGCCCCCUAUAGGGCCUUAACUGCCCCCAACAGGCCCUUAAAUGCCCCAAUAGGGCCUUAAUUGCCCCAAUAGACCUUAACUGCCCCCAGUAGUGUCAUAACUGCCCCAUCCCCCUUC